AGGGUUUGAUCAUGGCUCAGGAUGAACGCUGGCGGCGUGCUUAACACAUGCAAGUCGAACGGAGCGCCUGUGACGGAGUUUUCGGACAACGGAUCAGGUUGCUUAGUGGCGGACGGGUGAGUAACGCGUGAGUAAUCUACCUUGGAGUGGGGAAUAACACAGUGAAACCUGUGCUAAUACCGCAUGAAGCAAGCAUCUCGCAUGGGGAGUUUGCCAAAGAUUUAUCGCUCUGAGAUGAGCUCGCGUCUGAUUAGCUAGUUGGCGGGGUAACGGCCCACCAAGGCGACGAUCAGUAGCCGGACUGAGAGGUUGGCCGGCCACAUUGGGACUGAGACACGGCCCAG
This 344-nucleotide ribosomal RNA is filed under the name uncultured bacterium. RNAcentral describes it as "bacterial SSU rRNA". It matches the Rfam family "Bacterial small subunit ribosomal RNA", at positions 8 to 334 of the family's 1533-position model. The record is from RNAcentral.